GCCGAUGUAGCUCAGUUGGUCAGAGCAGCUGAUUUGUAAUCAGCAGGUCGGGGGUUCGAAUCCCUCCAUCGGCU
RNAcentral lists this transfer RNA (74 nucleotides) under Bacteroidetes bacterium GWF2_38_335. Its description in RNAcentral is "tRNA-Thr". It matches the Rfam family "tRNA". From Rfam's summary of the family: Transfer RNA (tRNA) molecules are approximately 80 nucleotides in length. Their secondary structure includes four short double-helical elements and three loops (D, anti-codon, and T loops). RNAcentral also lists the same sequence under 7 other names. The record is from RNAcentral. Lineage: Bacteria; Pseudomonadati; Bacteroidota.